This is a long non-coding RNA of Mustela erminea (ermine), 5550 nucleotides long. RefSeq lists it as uncharacterized. The record is from RefSeq and is a predicted model, not a curated record. The transcript is spliced from 2 exons. NCBI's taxonomy places the organism in Eukaryota, Metazoa, Chordata, Mammalia, Carnivora, Mustelidae.
ACAGAGAGAAGAGAACGCAGAGGGUGGGAGGCAGGGAGGGAGACCAAACCCCCGCUUUACUGCGUUGAACGCUUCUGAAUUUCAAGCAGAAAGUAGAAGGAGCCCCACUCGGCAAUGAGCGUCUUUCCUUGGGCUGCGUGUGCAGAGCGUAGACAAUGAAAAUCUCCAUCCCCCUCCCCCAUCCCCGCUAGGCUACAAGAUUUUUAUUGUCGUUCCUUCUCAGCGGUGGAAGAUGUGCAAAAUCAAACCUAUAGAGAUGUGUACAUAUUUUUUCAACAAACAAAUCAAACGGGCUGAGACGCGGAUUACCCAAACGCGCACCGGCUGGGUGCGUGCUGGGGAAUCUGCGCUGGACUGGCUCUCCGCGCUCUCUCCAGCCGCAGCUGGGAUCUACGCCGCCCAGGGACCGUGGUGGUUGAGGAACCUUCCUUUCUCGGACGCCGGAGCCAGAGCGGGCCUUUCCCUUGGGCCGACCGCGCCGUAGGGGACGCCGCGAAAAGAGCCGCUGCGCCGCCAGCUCCUGCCCGCUGCUCAGAGGGCUCCGCCCGUAGAGGUCAACUCCCCUCACCCCUUCCUCUCUCCUGCUCGCCCUCCCUCCGCCCGGCCCAGGUUCCUCCAGCCUCCUGACUCUUGCCGCAGUCUGAGGAGAGCGCGUCGGCUGCGCUGUUCUGAGCCAUAACCCCUAGCCGGGCCCAGACCAGAGGUCUGCGCUUCCCGGCAGUGGGGAAGCCUUAGCGGGCUGGCUUUUCUCUCUGCACCAAAUCUGUAGCCAGACCAGAUGGGCCGCCCGGCUCUCUCGGGACUAGGCAGGUGCGGUUGAGUUAAUUUUUCCGCAUUACAAAGAAAGACGACCCAGCCCGCCCUUGGACUCUCAUCUCUUCCCCAAAUCUCCCAACCGAAACCGCGGUAACGUUAUCACAGGACACAGAGACUAGGCAUAUCUGCGUGUUUAUCUUACACACGCGCGCGCAUGGUUAUUUUUCCGUCUAUGUGCUAGAUCUCAUUCCCGACAGCAAGAAAUGAUUGACAAAGCUUUCUGCAGCAGAACGUGCAAUGGCGCGGUCCUUAAAAUCUGCCAUUCCUUACAAGUGACUUAGAAGAGAUGCAGGGCGAACCAACUCGGUUAAUUGCCUUCAGGAAAAUAACACGAUUACGAAAUUAGAUCUGUACCAGAGGGGUAAUUAACUUCGAUCCACGCCGUCAUUUGAAAACUAGAUUUAUAGGCGAAUGUAUGUUUUUAGGUGUGCUGUAAAUGGCAUGCAGAUAUAUGCAUAUGUAUACGCAGACACAUGCAUCGUCUACACUUCCACCGAACAGACUAAUUAGCAGCGGCUCUGGCAGCUGUGGCAGGAGGCGAGCUGAGACAGGAGCCGGGCUUCUGAGUUAUGACUCUGGGGGAGUCCUAGAGACUCAGAGCCCAGGGGAGGGGGAAGGGCAGGAGGAGAAGAGGUGUAUUCGCAGUGGGUCAGUUACUUGCCGGAUCAAGAUCAGACUCUGCCCUCCGUGUUCACAGCGGACCUUGAUUUAAUGUCAUACAAUUAAGGCACGCGGUGAAUGCCAAGAGCGGAGCCUAUGGCUGCACUUGAAGGACACCAGAGCGUCUCAGGACGAGAAAAAGGAAAAGGCAAUCACAAGGGGGUUUGAGAGGUAGUAGAACAAACUCAUCGUUUGCCGCAUAAAGACCCUCAAACUGAUUCCAGAACCAUCCUAGCAUUCCCAAAGUAAAAUGGUCAUAGUUUUCACCAAAAGCCUUGGAAAUCUGCAGGUGCAUCCCCGAAAGAGAUUUUAGGAGAACUUCAGUGACAGGAGCUUCCGCGGUCAAGAGAGCAGGAGUUCCCGUUUGUGCACAUAUUCUAGAGUUGAACUGUUUAGAAAGCAGAGGUUCUUUAAAGAUCAAGUAGGAUGCUUGCAUUCUGGGCCAAGCGGCGGAAACACAACAACAGAGAGGAUAAUAAUGUUAAUGGCGCCCUCAUCACAUUGCAUAAGAAACCUCAAAUGUCUCAGCUCCUUCGGGGAACCCCCCACCACUACCACCACUGUCCCCCAUCCCCUCCCCUCCUAUUCUCCUCCUAGUAUGCAGUCUGCCUUGCCCGGCUUUAGAAAGCCAAGAUAAUUUCCUUGUAUCGACGUAGUCACGAUGGCCAAAUCAGUAAAAGGAGUAGGACAAGGGAAAAAGGCCAGGCCUGAAAGUUUAGAAGGACUCGGCAAAAUAAUGUAUUUGGAAGCCAAUGAAGUGGACUUUGUUAAGGUAGUCGUUCUGCACCUCGGCCUUGGAGCCAAAAGCAAACCCAGGCUACGAAAGCGAGCCUUGCUAGAUGUCUUUGUUCCGCCUUGGCCUGCAGGGGCAGGGAACAAAGGAGAGAUGCUGAGAGAGGAUUCACCAAAGUGGCCGCGCCCGUUGCUCCGGGUGCUGUCCGCGGUGCUGACCUUGGCCUUCUCCUCUCUGUGAUGUAACCAAACAGCGAUAGGACCCUCCCGCCCCCAUCCCAAAGAAUAACAGAAUAUUAGGUAAUUUGAAAAAAGAAAAAGAAAAUUAAAAGCAGAGAAAUACCGCAUACAGCAAAACGUAAUAUUUUACCAAAAUAGUCCACUCUAGAUGUUGCCACACUUGACUGGCCCUUUUCCGUCUUCCUGUAGUUAAUGCAGUUAAUGUACGUAUAUUGGGAAACAGUUUCACCUUAUUUAGACUGAAACCCGAAUCUAAGCAAUGGGCGGGACUUGCAAGGAGAAUGAGAAGAAUGAAGGCUCCAUUUUUUUUCUUUCUUAAGUCAUCUUCCUUAAAACAACAAACUUAAAGUCCUCAGCUGCGUACCUAAGCAGUGCCAGUGUGGUCAGUAAAGGGAAGCGCGACGGACUCAGUUGUGGACCUCAAGAUUUACCAGGAAGGGACGGGAUGGGGACUGACUAGGUGAAACCAAGCGGGAGCCCACCCAGCAGGCCCUGCCGCCUCAGGCAACAAGGGCAGCCUUCCUAGGCAGGUCCAGAGCUCCAAGCUUUGCAGACCUCGCUGAUGGGAGGCGCUUGCUCAGCGCUUCCUGGCCGGCGGGAGGCACUGCAGGCCAGAAGACCCGAAAGCCGCACUGCGGAAAAACUGACUACAGCAUCCUCCUCCUCAAAGCUCUGGCAGUUGGAAAAAGGGCAGGUUGGCUUACUAAAUGGCAGGCAAUGAAGAUUCUCUUUAGGAGUCGAGGGGCGUAUUGGUCAGUAUUCAUAUAUUCAAUAAAUCUUUAAAUCUCACAGCAUAUUUCAUUGUCUUAGGUAUUGAGAACAUUAAAUGUAAAUAAUAAAACUUUAAACAUCUUAACGAAGUAAUGAAUCAAAGAGGGGAGAGAGAAACAGAGGGAGAAACAGGAAAUCAAAUAAUUUGUAGCCAGCCUGAGGUCUCAAAAGAAAUUGCUACAUAUUUGCUUGCAUUAGUUUAUAAAUCCACAAACCUGAAAGAUGUUAAAAUUAGGUAAAACAAUCCAGAUUGGCAAUAGAGACAGCAAGACCAGUUUUGAUCCAGAUAUAGAAGUGGACCACAAAUGGGUCAUACAUUUCAUCAGAUUCAUUCUUUUACACCUGGAUGGUGGAGAUACAUCAGAUGAAUCUGAAAAUAAAGUUGUGAAGCACAACAUGCUCAGGGAAUAGUCUCACUUCCUUCCCUUAGGGUGGAUUUUAUUUAUUCUCUGAUUUUAGAACUCUGUGAGUUAGGUCUUUCAUGUCCAUUGGUGACUUGUUUAUAUUUCACUUUAUAUAAUUCAGGAGGGAAUGAAUAAAACACACUUUAAAAAAGGGGUGCUACUCAAAUCAUAAAAGGAAUGUGUUAGGAAGCAUUCCUCUCGUGCCAGUUAGGAAUAGUCACUGGUAACUGAAAUGGGUUUAAAGCAUUACACGUUAUCAUGGAAGCUUAUUUCAUUCCAAAUUCAUGCAACUGCACAGAUCUCCUGCACCCACAUUCACAUGGUUACCUCAUGAAGCAAUAAGAGCCAAGGUUGCAAAAUACUUUUGCCUUAGUUGGGUUAUAAUUCAUAUUACAUAAUAGAAACACAUCUACUCCCCCUCACACCAAUCCUUCCUGUUUAGGACAACCUAAGCUUGUCCUCCAGAAAGCGUAAUAAGUUUUAAAAUUACUUUUUAAGUAGAUAUGAGAUACAUUAUAUGAAACAGGUAAAAUACCAUUUAAAUAAGAGAACACACUAUUUAGUGUUCUGGUUACAACGAUUAAAUCCAGAUUGGCUACCAAUCCAUAAUAGUUCUAGAUUUUUAAGACUAUUUUACUUUCUAUUUAUUCUUAAAUUAAUCAUCGGCUUAAUGUCUAUGGACAAUUUGCUAUGAAAUUCUAUGCUCAGCAUUUUUUCCAAUAAAAGAGUUUAAGCUUCGCAAUUGGAGAACUUCAGCAUAGUAUGCCAGGGAAGCCCUUUAACAAUCACAACUUUCAUUUAGUGGUCUGAAAUUAAAGUUUCUCGGAAUAAUUUAGGAACAACUUGACCCUUUAAGAUACUCAAUGACAACCCUCCAGGGAAAUAGUACGUUUCCUUCCUGGGAAGGAGAUGCUAGCGCAGUGCACCGGGGACUUAUACCCUGUCAACAAUGCCAGAGCGCCCUCUGCUGCCAGAAAGAGGCAGGACGCCAGCUACAAUAUCCAGAUGGCAGAGUCGCCAUCAACAGUGAAAGCACUAAGCUCUUAGGAACAUUUAAUCUGUGAAAUUUAAAAGCUCUCAUCAUAUUGUACUUUUGAAGGGGCCACCUGACUUUGAUUCUGAGGACUCCUUGAAUAAUUUUCUUAUAUUUCUGUAGGGUAGUGAAGAGUCAAAUGUUCCAAAGUUUUCAGUCAGUCUAUAGUUAAAUUUCUUCACACUUUCUUUAAAUUUAUAUGGAAAUAUGAAAUUGCAGAUUGAGUUAAAAUCCUUUGUGCUGAAUCUAUGAGUAGAGAGACUCCUAGCUUCUCCAGAUAAACUAAGAUCUAAUAAAGGGGAAAAAUUAAUUAAAGGUAUCUAGUGCAGAUUGUUACAGGACCAAGGUAAAGAAUCAUUUUCUUGUUUUGAUAAUUAACCCAGAUUUUUCUCAGGCUUUCAGUUUGGGAAUAAAAAAUGAGUUAUAUUUGAGGAAGAAGUUAAAAAUUUUGUUUCACCCUAAUAUGUAUAUUCUCUUUAUCCUUGAAAUUUUUUAAAAUGAAUUUAUAUCCAUACUUGGCUUAGAAAGAUUUCUUUAGAAAAGAAUGCACUCUGAGUAUGAGUGAUUUGAUAUGUUUGCAACAUAGGCAAACUCAUAAGAAGGGAUAUUUGCAUUACAAUUGAGUUUUUUAGUAUGGAACAAUCUCUUCUUAAAUGAAAUGGUGGACAUUUUUUAAAAGGUCAAAAAUUCUUUUUCAUUUUUAUGUAUUAUAGGGUUUGUACUUAUUUUUUAAAUGUACAGCCAUAUUAAUUUAAUGUUGUGAAUUUCAAAAUUACAGCUUAUUUCUAAACACACACACACAUCUUUGUCAUGAAGACUAUUGUUGAAUAUAUCAGUGCUAAUGUAAUAAAGUGUUUCUAUUAAUUCUGUGAUUGUUAAAUAAAUCUUGUAAAA